This 294-nucleotide small nuclear RNA is filed under the name Tupaia belangeri (northern tree shrew). RNAcentral's name for it is "7SK RNA (ENSTBEG00000020308.1)". It matches the Rfam family "7SK RNA". Rfam says of the family: 7SK was discovered as an abundant small nuclear RNA in the mid-70s but a possible function has only recently been suggested. Two independent studies have found that 7SK RNA binds the CDK9/cyclin T complex (known as elongation factor P-TEFb). Lineage: Eukaryota; Metazoa; Chordata; Mammalia; Scandentia; Tupaiidae. The record is from RNAcentral.
GGAAGUGAGGGUGAUCUGGUCACCCUGUUGUUCACCUGGGUCGAUUUGGUUGUUCUGACGACCUAAACCGAUGUUCCCUCUCUCCUUCACUGCUCCAUCUGCAUCCCUCCUGAAGCUGUGUGCUCCGAGAAGAUGACCUUCCCAAUAGAGGACCAGUCUGCAGUCGAAGGUAGAGGAGUAGCUGCAUUACCUUGUUAGAACCUCCAAGCAAGCCCUCAAAAUCCAUUUGUAGAACAGAGGAUACUUCAGUCCAUUCUCUGUUACUUAAUAAAUGAUACCUGAAACUGGGUGAUU